UACGUAGGGUGCAAGCGUUAAUCGGAAUUACUGGGCGUAAAGCGUGCGCAGGCGGUUUUGUAAGUCUGUCGUGAAAGCCCCGGGCUCAACCUGGGAAUUGCGAUGGAGACUGCAAGGCUUGAAUCUGGCAGAGGGGGGUAGAAUUCCACGUGUGGCAGUGAAAUGCGUAGAGAUGUGGAGGAACACCGAUGGCGAAGGCAGCCCCCUGGGUCAAGAUUGACGCUCAUGCACGAAAGCGUGGGGAGCAAACAGG
This 253-nucleotide ribosomal RNA is filed under the name uncultured bacterium. Its description in RNAcentral is "partial 16S ribosomal RNA". It matches the Rfam family "Bacterial small subunit ribosomal RNA", at positions 524 to 776 of the family's 1533-position model. The record is from RNAcentral.